This 724-nucleotide long non-coding RNA is filed under the name Citrus sinensis (sweet orange). RNAcentral describes it as "long non-coding RNA (CSIN_LNC003918)". The record is from RNAcentral. Lineage: Eukaryota; Viridiplantae; Streptophyta; Magnoliopsida; Sapindales; Rutaceae.
ACCGAACCGACCACAGGAAAAAACCGAACGCAAAUUGAUUUUUACACAAUCCCUAAUCUAACACAUUCUUGUCUUCUUGAUUCUUCUCAUCUUCUGAUCUUCACAAACCUUCACCGCUGGAAUCUCGUCCCCGCUGCUGCUGCUGCUGCUGCUCAUCCUUCACGAACCUUCACCGCUGGAAUCUCAUCCCCGCUGCUGCUGCUGCUCAUCCUUCACGAAUUUGAUUUGCCACCGCUGUUCAUUGCCGACUCUCGUCCCCGCUGCCACUGUCACCUACCGUUGUCACCUACUAUCAACUGUUGCUGCUUUCACGGUGCUCCCCUGCUGCCAUCUGACUGCUGUUGUGACUCACAACUUGUGAGCUGCUGCUGGUAACUUGAGCUGCUUGAGCUUGAGUUGUUUUUGCAGAGAACUUGAGCCGCUGCUGCCUGCUGGCGUGAAAAGGUAAUCAGCUCCCUUUGUUUUUGCAGAGAAUUCGUACUGGGUUAAGGUUUGACUUGGUAAAUGGUAUAAUAUAAUCUGUGCUUAACUACUUUAUUUUGUUAACCCGUCAUUAAGAAUUAACGGGCAAAACAAGGAUUUUGCGGUUUUUGGAUUUAGAAUAAAAUGGACAGAAGUUGCUUAAUAUUUCUUCUUUAAUCUUUUAUUGAUUAGUUAUUGCAAAGAAUAAAUUUUUUUAAAUUAUUCCUUAGCUUAACUUAAUCAUUGUCACCAUAUAUACUUU